Molecule: transfer RNA, 64 nt
Filed under: Dermestes coarctatus
Lineage: Eukaryota; Metazoa; Arthropoda; Insecta; Coleoptera; Dermestidae
Description: tRNA-Asp
Source: RNAcentral
AAAAACUUAGUUAAAUUAUAACAUUAACUUGUCAAGUUAAAAUUAUCAAUUAUGAUAGUUUUUA